Molecule: long non-coding RNA, 607 nt
Organism: Marmota monax (woodchuck)
Lineage: Eukaryota; Metazoa; Chordata; Mammalia; Rodentia; Sciuridae
Exons: 2
Source: RefSeq, a predicted model, not a curated record
CGCGCACCCGUCGGCGCCGAGCGCGCAGCCUGCUCCACCGCCGCCUCUCCGCCCCGCCGCCGCCUCUCGGCCGCCGCCGCUGCUGGGCAGCCGGAUAGUGCUCUAGGCAGUCUGCGGAGGACCAGCAGUCAGCCUUCCCAUUUCUCCAGUUGGUAAAGUGGAAUAAGGAUAUAUCACCAACUAUGUUUUCUUGCUUCGUGUCCCCAAGCCAGAGACUUGCAACUCUGUCUCCUGGUGUUUGAGAUAGUUUGGGGGCUCUUGGCUACUCACUGUUGAGCACAUCUUUUUCAGGGGUUGGGUGUUGGGGUAGGAUGUCCUGGGUUGGAAGUUCAAAUAGUAGUGGGCAAUAAUUAUCUUCCCAGGGUGGAGUAGCCCUUCCUUUAAGAACACAAGACCCUGCAAAGGAGCCCAGAAAUUCUUCAUCAUUUGUUUGUUUCUGGGGCCAAGGAAAAUAUUGAGAACAUUUUGCUGCCCCACACACCCUUCCAGGACAUGUUGAUUGCCAACUGCUCUGUGCAACUUUUCUCCAGCUAUGUCUCUUCAAGCAAAGACCAAAAAGGAAAGCAAGAAAAAACUAUGAAAACAUUAUAAUAAAUGAUAAAAUUAA